RNAcentral lists this long non-coding RNA (3132 nucleotides) under Mus musculus (house mouse). Its description in RNAcentral is "long non-coding RNA chr16:72441092-72444224". The record is from RNAcentral. Lineage: Eukaryota; Metazoa; Chordata; Mammalia; Rodentia; Muridae.
AUUUUAACCUUGUAAUAUGACUAAUUUGAAUGGUGUGAAAUUAUUUUAUCAUGUAAUGUCAUUUUCACCUAAACAGUACAAUUAAGAUAUUUAAAACUAAAGAUCCAAUCAUUUUACAAAUUCCUAAAAAUAAGUGAUAGAUUUUGUAUACACUAGUACAUCCUCCACAUAAAAAGUAGUUUUGUGUAUUUGAAUGCUCAAAAUUUCUUCAAGAUGGGAUUAAAAAUUUUUUUUCCUAGUUCUCUGUUAUCUCAUUUUUAAUCCCUUCUCCCUAUGUUCUGCCUAGUUACCGUUUUCUAUCCAAAUUCUGAGUGUUUCCUAGGUCUUGGGCCUUAUCUAUUUCUUUUCUUUAUGCAGUCUGCUUCGGAGCACAUCUGUGAGCUUAGAAUUAUGUACAAUUAAAUGUAUACCAAAACCAUUCACACUCCCCUUUCCUCUCAUUGCAUGCCUUAGUAUCUUAAAGGAAAAUAAAAAUGCCUCAGUUUAAAAUAUAUGAGUUAAAAUCCCUUGAGCUGCAGGAUAUGUGCAAUAAUGUCUUUCACCAAAAUCAAGCUGUGGAUUAUUUCCUCACACUCAGAGCCUAAAUGUUCAUUGGAGAUUUACCAUUGCACUUAAGUGCCAGAGGAAAUGACAAGGUGACCAUUGGAAUUGUUGUCCAAACAGAAACCAUUGAUAUUUAAGAGAAGAUUCAUAAAUCUGAAGUUAUGGUUUUCUAUGCCAGACAAAUCAGGGAACAUUACACUUAGGCUACUGGAGUCAAGGUCAUUUACGAUUUGUCACCCACUUCAAAAAUUAAUUUUAUUUUUUAAGAUUACAAUAUGAUUACAUCAUUUCGCCCUUCGAUUUUCUCCCUCUAUUGCCUCUAAUAUAGUCCCCUUUACCCUGUUUCAAAUUCAUAUAUAUGUAUAUAUAUAUAUGUAUGCACAUAUGUAUACAUAUAUAUAUAUAUACAUAUAUACAUAUAUAUGUAUGUGUGUAUAUAUGUAUGUGUGUAUAUAUGUAUGUGUGUAUAUAUGUAUACAUAUACACACACACACAUAUCUUCUGUUACUUGUAUGUAUGUUUUCAGAACUGACCAUUUGGCACUAGAUGAACUGUCAGAGUGCUCCUCCCUGGGGAGGACUGUUUCCUCCGCUCUCAGGCUUCCUUAGUUGCCUGUGGUUCUUUGUAUAGGACUAAGGCAUUGUGGGUUUCCUUGUUCCCUUUGGCAAGUCUCUUGUUUCUCUCUUUGUUUACCUCCUAUUUAAGCAGUCAUGUUGGUGAGGCGUUAUGAGUGCAGCUUGGGACAUUCCUGGAGACAUGAACUCUGUCACUUGUUUUUUAAAAAGUCCUUUCCUAAAUAUGCACCCAGCAGCUCUAGGGAUGACUCAUUGGUGAAAUCCAUAUCAUAAUCUAACCAUUUUUGUCACUCUAAUGGCAAUAAUGGUGAGUUUGUCUAUUUUAAUUAUGUACAUUUUGCAUUUUUUUUACAUUUAUUUAUUUUGUAUAUGAGGGUUGAGCAAGCAUUUUCCACAACACAGAUGUAAAAAUUGGAGGACAAUUUUCAGAAGUCUAUUUUUUACCUUCCACUGUGAUUAUUGACCUCACGUCAGGCCAGGCUUUAAUACAUACCAAGUCCUCUGGGCCAUCCCAAUAGCCCUAUUUUACUAAUUUUUUUAAAGGCUUAGCAAAUUUCAACUACAAGAAAAUAUUUUCUUUAUAUUUCUUAUAUUUUCUUUACAUUUCUGUUAUUGUUGUUAUUACAGUUUUUAAUAUAGCCCUCUGUGGUGUGUGACUCUUCCUGGAGAGAAAGGGAGAAAUGACUAGUCACCUCAGUUAGGCAACUGAUUAGUCUAAGGAAGUCACCCAAGUCCAACAUAGGAAGAGCCCUAGUAAAUCUGGUCUGUUUCAGGUACUUCCUGAAGCGAUUAAGAUGUUUACUUCCUGAGUUUAAAGAGUUUCCUUACAGCAUGUGUUUCAGGAUGUCACCUGUUUUGACAUCUUGUAUCUUAAGGAUCUUCCUUCAAGAUGGAAGUGUGUAUUUCAGAGGGAAUUAGCACACUCAUCCAGAUUGGACUCUGAAUCCCUGAAGAGGCUGCAGGCUACUGAGCUUCUGCUUAUUUCUGCCACGCUGACCACUACACACGAUGCCGUGAAACAAACCUAAGGCUUUAGGCAUGUUCAGCAAACACUUACCAAAUGUGCUAUAUCUCCAGCCCCCAAAUAAGUUCUGCCACCUUGGUGGUCCUAUGGAUUGAACUCAAGUCAGUAGGCAGUGCAGCAGGCCUAUUUAUGGACUUUCUUGCUGGUCUCCAAAUGAAUUCUGAUAAGAAUAAAAAUAAGAUUAGGAAACAAUAGUGUGCUUGUAAUUUCUCACUGUGAAGUAUCCUGGGUCUGGAGUGUGGUGUAUUUUCGGUAGAAACAUUUCCCUCCCACUGUCUUCCCUACCUGACUCUAUUAAUACUCAAACUGUGUCUUAGACAUAGUUAUGUAACAUUAUGCAUUAUAGAAAUCUAAGAAUGGUCAAGAUUUGGGCCUUUUCAUCAGUCCCAGUACUUAGUAUUUCGGCAAGUCCUGCUGGGACUCUCAAAUGUUCUUGAAUUUAAGGUUUAUCGCAUUCUAUUUUGUCACCUCGUCAGGGCCAGCCACCCUCAACUUUUUCUUCAGUUCACUGAACCAAAAGAUUAACUGCUCUCCAAGCAUCCACUGCGACCCCAAACCUGCUGUACAUCUUCACCAAAGUGAUCUUUAUUUAUUGAAUCGCAGUACUUCUCUUUUCAAUCCUCCUGAUAACUUUCUAUCUGGCCUAAAAUAAAAUUGAAACUCUCCACAGCAAAGCCACUGAGCACACAGCAUCACUCAAUAUACUUUCUGUCAACUUUCUGCUUAAUCUCUUCUUAUUUCUCAGAGAGAAAAAAAAUGAAAUUGUUAUUUUGUUUGAUUCUUUUAUCUUCGCCCUUUGGUUGUUUUCUGUCCCCUCUAGGAUAUUACAAACUUGUAACUAAACUUAGCCCAUGAUAUCUAGAAAUGAAUAAAACUCCUACACACAUCAGAAGUAAGCACAGGGUCGCCUAUCUGAAAACAGGACCAAAGAGUCUUUCCAACUUAUUUGGAAAAACAAAGCUGAGAGCAGUGGUCAGUAUCAUUUUCUGC